This 391-nucleotide ribosomal RNA is filed under the name Lysobacter antibioticus. RNAcentral describes it as "bacterial SSU rRNA". It matches the Rfam family "Bacterial small subunit ribosomal RNA", at positions 959 to 1349 of the family's 1533-position model. The record is from RNAcentral. Lineage: Bacteria; Pseudomonadati; Pseudomonadota; Gammaproteobacteria; Lysobacterales; Lysobacteraceae.
CGCCGGANAACCUUACCUGGUCUUGACAUCCACGGAACUUUCCAGAGAUGGAUUGGUGCCUUCGGGAACCGUGAGACAGGUGCUGCAUGGCUGUCGUCANCUCGUGUCGUGAGAUGUUGGGUUAAGUCCCGCAACGAGCGCAACCCUUGUCCUUAGUUGCCAGCACGUAAUGGUGGGAACUCUAAGGAGACCGCCGGUGACAAACCGGAGGAAGGUGGGGAUGACGUCAAGUCAUCAUGGCCCUUACGACCAGGGCUACACACGUACUACAAUGGUAGGGACAGAGGGCUGCAAACCCGCGAGGGCAAGCCAAUCCCAGAAACCCUAUCUCAGUCCGGAUCGGAGUCUGCAACUCGACUCCGUGAAGUCGGAAUCGCUAGUAAUCGCAGAU